UGAUGAUUCCACUUGGCACUAGCCACAGGGCAGCUGGCCUUAAAGGCACUGAUUCAAUUAAACUUUCAGACCUGAGAAGCUUGAGGGUAAUACUGGCAAAGACAUGCAUAAGAACAGUAGUGUCCCAUUCACAUGGGGCAGAAGCACCAGAGAAGAGCUAAUUAUGGGUCUGAAGGACGGUUCCUGCUUUGGCAGAAGGGUGUAAACUGAAGUACUCAAGUGGAUUCUGACUCUGUUCUUAUCGGUGGCACGCACUGGGCACGAACCUGCAGAUAACAUCUCACCCAGUCUGCGCUGGGUCAUCCUGCCUGCUUCACACAACAGAUUCUUCAAGGGAAGGACGGAAGGGAAGCAGCGGGAGGAGAGGGCCGACAUCCUGAGUGUGUGUUUGAUCUGUCUUGGAAACCAAUGAUCACACUAGUGGUGAUAAUUAUGAUACAGAAAUUAGGCUGUGCCAGGGAAAAAAGGAAAGGAAAAAAAAAAAUCCAGCAACAUAGUAGAGCUGUGUUACUUUAGUCUGAACAGAAGAGAAAAUGAAGCCUUUCUCUCAGCAGGCACCAAAACACAUAUUUUGCAAAAUUGCAAUACUAAUAUAUACCUCCAGCUGAGGGGACGUCCAUAUCUCUGCAGUGCCCUGCACACUGUCUCCUAUGCAGGGGCUUACAUUAUAUUGCUCACAUGGCAAAUCCUUAGCAAGUCUCAUCUUCCAAGGGCUGAGCCUGGGAGACAUCCUGCAUCAGUCACUGUCAGUAGGGCCAAUAGCAUUUCACUGAAUUCAGUUUUGUUCUAGGUCUGUCCUCAUGGGGAGGCAUCUGAUGGCUCAUCCUUAGUGCAAAUAGAAGUCACAGUGACAGAGGGGCUUCUUGCACCCAUCAGCUGAAACGUGAAUGAACGUGUGGGACAUGCAUGCCAGCACAUCUGUGGAGGGGAAUAAGAGGGAAGAAAUGGGAAUGUGGAGGCUUGGGCACAGAAGGUAAGAGGUAGCAAGAUCCUUCUGGGAAUAGAAGUAGCAUAUGCAUUGAUGUCUGUCAACAUCAAGAGACAGUGGAUGAUUCAUACUGGGAGGAAGGAGCUGGCAACAUCACCACUUUUCUUUUGAAAGAGGCCAUGCACUGGUUAAGUACAGCACAGGGCUUCCCUCUCUGAUGUAUGCUCUACCCACCAAAUGAUUUACCAAGCUGUAAAUGGCAGAGAUGCUUUAGCUGGGUGUGGAGUUUUCUCUGUGACUGGAACUAUUUACCUUUUCCAUCAGUCAGAGCACACAAAAGAUCUCCAAUGCUAAUAAAGUUUUUAUGUGUUAUAAGUGAUACCUGUCCCCAGCUACAGCUGCGUCUGGUAUUGGCAGUUAUACACACGUAUUUUUUUCUGUAUUGUUUUUAUUGUUUUUUUGUUUGUUUGUUUGUUUGUUUUCUGAGAAAAUGUUAAGUUAGAAGGAAACCCUUUGAUGGACAUGGAUCAGUGACAGCAUUGAACACUGGGAUCCAUCAUAUAGCAAGGAUGGAAGGUCAUCCACUCAGCAGUAUAGUCAAAUUUGUGUUUCCAUAUUUAUGGAAUUAACACAUUCUUACUACUUUUGCACAAAUCUGUUUCCCUAUAUUACAUGUGCUAACGGCUGUCCAUUCUGGAAGCUGUGUGUUUGGCUUGACUUAUCAUUGUGCUACUUUUGUGAUGUAUGUAUUGACCACAGUGAUGAGGGAAUCACACAACUGCACUUGAAGUUAUAUCUGCCACUUCUAGUUGUAGCUGUGUUAUAGGCAACUUCUUUGUCAGACUACAGGCAAGAGCAACUGUGCAGAGGCUCUAGGACAGUUCUUUUA
Molecule: long non-coding RNA, 1817 nt
Organism: Anas platyrhynchos (mallard)
Lineage: Eukaryota; Metazoa; Chordata; Aves; Anseriformes; Anatidae
Source: RefSeq, a predicted model, not a curated record